Molecule: ribosomal RNA, 492 nt
Filed under: uncultured bacterium
Lineage: Bacteria
Description: partial 16S ribosomal RNA
Rfam family: Bacterial small subunit ribosomal RNA
Source: RNAcentral
AGUGGACGCUGGCGGUAUGCCUAACACAUGCAAGUCGAACGGCAGCACAGUAAGAGCUUGCUCUUACGGGUGGCGAGUGGCGGACGGGUGAGGAAUACAUCGGAAUCUACUUUUUCGUGGGGGAUAACGUAGGGAAACUUACGCUAAUACCGCAUACGACCUACGGGUGAAAGCAGUGGAUCUUCGGACCUUGCGCGAUUGAAUGAGCCGAUGUCGGAUUAGCUAGUUGGCGGGGUAAGGGCCCACCAAGGCGACGAUCCGUAGCUGGUCUGAGAGGAUGAUCAGCCACACUGGAACUGAGACACGGUCCAGACUCCUACGGGAGGCAGCAGUGGGGAAUAUUGGACAAUGGGCGCAAGCCUGAUCCAGCCAUACCGCGUGGGUGAAGAAGGCCUUCGGGUUGUAAAGCCCUUUUGUUGGGAAAGAAAAGCAGCAGGUUAAUCCCCCGCUGUUCUGACGGUACCCAAAGAAUAAGCACCGGCUAACUUCGUG